GCCGGGCAAGGUGACGCAGGCUUGUAAUCCCAGCAGCUCGGGAGGCUGAGACAGGAGGCUUUCGAGUUCAAAGCCUGCCUCAGCAACAGCGAGGUGCCAAGCAACUCAGUGAGACCCUGUCUCUA
RNAcentral lists this small RNA (125 nucleotides) under Marmota monax (woodchuck). Lineage: Eukaryota; Metazoa; Chordata; Mammalia; Rodentia; Sciuridae. The record is from RNAcentral.